This 449-nucleotide ribosomal RNA is filed under the name uncultured bacterium. RNAcentral's name for it is "bacterial SSU rRNA". It matches the Rfam family "Bacterial small subunit ribosomal RNA", at positions 335 to 799 of the family's 1533-position model. The record is from RNAcentral.
ACUCCUACGGGAGGCAGCAGUGGGGAAUCUUGCGCAAUGGGCGAAAGCCUGACGCAGCCAUGCCGCGUGAAUGAUGAAGGUCUUAGGAUUGUAAAAUUCUUUCACCGGGGACGAUAAUGACGGUACCCGGAGAAGAAGCCCCGGCUAACUUCGUGCCAGCAGCCGCGGUAAUACGAAGGGGGCUAGCGUUGCUCGGAAUUACUGGGGCGUAAAGGGCGCGUAGGCGGAUCGUUAAGUCAGAGGUGAAAUCCCAGGGCUCAACCCUGGAACUGCCUUUGAUACUGGCGAUCUUGAGUAUGAGAGAGGUAUGUGGAACUCCGAGUGUAGAGGUGAAAUUCGUAGAUAUUCGGAAGAACACCAGUGGCGAAGGCGACAUACUGGCUCAUUACUGACGCUGAGGCGCGAAAGCGUGGGGAGCAAACAGGAUUAGAUACCCUGGUAGGCUACCG